Molecule: non-coding RNA, 20 nt
Filed under: Arabidopsis thaliana (thale cress)
Lineage: Eukaryota; Viridiplantae; Streptophyta; Magnoliopsida; Brassicales; Brassicaceae
Source: RNAcentral
GCGUGGUGUCCGGUGCGCCC